GCGAAAAGAACCCCGGCGAGGGGAGUGAAAAAGAACCUGAAACCGUGUACGUACAAGCAGUGGGAGCACGCUUAGGCGUGUGACUGCGUACCUUUUGUAUAAUGGGUCAGCGACUUAUAUUCUGUAGCAAGGUUAACCGAAUAGGGGAGCCGAAGGGAAACCGAGUCUUAACUGGGCGUUAAGUUGCAGGGUAUAGACCCGAAACCCGGUGAUCUAGCCAUGGGCAGGUUGAAGGUUGGGUAACACUAACUGGAGGACCGAACCGACUAAUGUUGAAAAAUUAGCGGAUGACUUGUGGCUGGGGGUGAAAGGCCAAUCAAACCGGGAGAUAGCUGGUUCUCCCCGAAAGCUAUUUAGGUAGCGCCUCGUGAAUUCAUCUCCGGGGGUAGAGCACUGUUUCGGCAAGGGGGUCAUCCCGACUUACCAACCCGAUGCAAACUGCGAAUACCGGAGAAUGUUAUCACGGGAGACACACGGCGGGUGCUAACGUCCGUCGUGAAGAGGGAAACAACCCAGACCGCCAGCUAAGGUCCCAAAGUCAUGGUUAAGUGGGAAACGAUGUGGGAAGGCCCAGACAGCCAGGAUGUUGGCUUAGAAGCAGCCAUCAUUUAAAGAAAGCGUAAUAGCUCACUGGUCGAGUCGGCCUGCGCGGAAGAUGUAACGGGGCUAAACCAUGCACCGAAGCUGCGGCAGCGACGCUGAUGCGUUGUUGGGUAGGGGAGCGUUCUGUAAGCCUGCGAAGGUGUGCUGUGAGGCAUGCUGGAGGUAUCAGAAGUGCGAAUGCUGACAUAAGUAACGAUAAAGCGGGUGAAAAGCCCGCUCGCCGGAAGACCAAGGGUUCCUGUCCAACGUUAAUCGGGGCAGGGUGAGUCGACCCCUAAGGCGAGGCCGAAAGGCGUAGUCGAUGGGAAACAGGUUAAUAUUCCUGUACUUGGUGUUACUGCGAAGGGGGGACGGAGAAGGCUAUGUUGGCCGGGCGACGGUUGUCCCGGUUUAAGCGUGUAGGCUGGUUUUCCAGGCAAAUCCGGAAAAUCAAGGCUGAGGCGUGAUGACGAGGCACUGCGGUGCUGAAGCAACAAAUGCCCUGCUUCCAGGAAAAGCCUCUAAGCAUCAGGUAACAUCAAAUCGUACCCCAAACCGACACAGGUGGU
RNAcentral lists this ribosomal RNA (1151 nucleotides) under Escherichia coli. Its description in RNAcentral is "partial 23S ribosomal RNA". It matches the Rfam family "Bacterial large subunit ribosomal RNA", at positions 514 to 1667 of the family's 2925-position model. Lineage: Bacteria; Pseudomonadati; Pseudomonadota; Gammaproteobacteria; Enterobacterales; Enterobacteriaceae. The record is from RNAcentral.